This 1043-nucleotide long non-coding RNA is filed under the name Androctonus crassicauda. Lineage: Eukaryota; Metazoa; Arthropoda; Arachnida; Scorpiones; Buthidae. The record is from RNAcentral.
CCAUUUUCUACUUAGGUCGAAUAUUAAUUGGUGGAGCGAAACAACUCUUUUUACAAACUGCCCAUCUCUGCAGAGGGUCUGCCGACCGAUGGGCUGGAGUCAUACAUCAUGGAAUAAAUUUUCAAAAGGAUUAGACUCGAGAAUAGGAUCGAAUUCUCUAGGAUGGAAAGCCGAUGCAUUUUCAUGCAGUUACGAUUUCUUUGUGUAUGAUGAUUUUAGCAACAUAUUUCCGCAAAUAGUAACGAAUAGGCUAUAUUUCGUAUCUUAUUAAAAUCGGCCGGAUGGCCGCGUGAUAAAGCAGUCGCUUACCAUCUUGAGCAGUGAUAUCAAGCUCAUUUUCUUCAAACAGCCACUUUAAGCAUCUUUGGUUAGUUGGGAACGGCAUUUAAAAUUAAUAUCUGACGUAUAAUAAAGAAAUUUUUUUACAUGAGAGAACAUAAUCAAUUCUAUUUAACUACUAAUAUUUUAAUUACCUUAAAGUGAUAUGUCCCAAUUCAUGUUCAAAAUUAUAUAAAAGCUGCUAUUAUAAAAGUGUGAAGUUAAAGUUUUGUAUUGAAAAAUUUUGUUUUAGUAAAUUUUAAUAUAAUUUACAAAAGUAAGCCUACUUUAAGGUGAUAUACAGAUGUUUCAUGAAAAACGAUUGCAAUUUUUAUUUUUUGAAUAUCUUUUAUAUACUGAUACGAUUAUAAUUACGAUGCGGGCUGCAAUAAAGUACGUAUCAGGCUGCGAGUUAGAGUAUUCAGGUUCAUUUCCGGGUUUCACAACUCCGUAUUUUUUUCAGAAGGUGUCCAAGCCCGACUCAUUGAAUUCCAUAUUCAAAUCUAGUUGACUUCAUUACGGGAAUUGGAAAUGCGUCAUUGGUCCUGAAGUGACUGCUCUCGAUCAUAUAUUUCUGAGAUUUAACGUCAUAAAUUAAAACUAAGCGAAAACUUACGUAUGAAAAGGCGAAGUUUAUUUUCAGUGUACGUGUAAUGAUAAGUUUCUCCAGUUCAUCAAUAAUUAUGUUUAUAUGCUUCAGAAUUAUUUUAUCCAUUAUAGAAUGC